RNAcentral lists this long non-coding RNA (320 nucleotides) under Elaeis guineensis (African oil palm). RNAcentral's name for it is "long non-coding RNA (EGUI_LNC029190)". The record is from RNAcentral. Lineage: Eukaryota; Viridiplantae; Streptophyta; Magnoliopsida; Arecales; Arecaceae.
UAUUAUUAUUAUUAUUAUUAUUAUUAUUAUUAUUAUUAUUAUUAUUAAAAAGUCGAGGUCAUUUUCGGACAGGUUGGAGGUUAGACAUUUUCCAACUUGGAACGAAGACGCUCGGAAGCCACACCAACCGCUCCUGCCCGUGCAAACUUUGUCAAACAGAGCUGCUGGAAUAAAAAAAUCGCGGCUUACCGAGCCACCCAUUUUUGGUCUAAAGUUCAGCUUGAUAGAGACAUGUCCAAAAUUCUAAUUUGCAAUUUUAAUUAAAUCAAAGUAUCAGCAGAUUAGACAUCCAAUUAACUAAGCAUUUGUAUUUAUUAGAA